AUCAGUAUAAUUAAGCAAAGUUGACAGACUAUCUCAGAUGCAAAUAUCCUACACUAAACACAAUGUUUGGCUAAAAUAUUCACAGCUGAUAAAUCCAUUAAUAGCUAUUUUAGAAAUAUGUCAGGGAAUUUUCUGGAGGGUUUCAUGCUAUGUAAGGUUGUUUCAGAGAUAGUACUUUUGAAAUAAGAACUAAGAACUAGAAGACUGAUGCCCCUCCCAGCUGGAAAGGCAGCUAUGUGCCUGUCAGCAGCUUUGUUCACCACAUACCAGCCCCCUAGCAAUCAUAAAGCAAGCAGGCACCUACAUGACUGUCAGCAGCUCCCCUCAUGACACAUCAGCAAUCUUGUCUAGCAGCCCCCUUUCCCCUAGUCGGAAUUGCCUCUUAUCAGUUCCACUUCUGUUAAUAUUGCUUGCUACCCAGGAAAGGGGGAGGGCCAAGGCUGCUGGCAUGGGAAACCUUCAGACCCUGAAGUCUGUAUUGCUGAAAUGUUACCCAGAACAAAGUCCUGGUACUCAGACUUUGGAGGUGACUCCUCUGAACCCGCAGGGGUGCUGAAUAAACCUUGCUAUAGAUCACAUCUCCGAGUGCUGCUUGUCUCUUUCCGCUGCCAUGAGCGGAAACAGGUUCCAGGACAAGACAUCAGACUGGUGAGUGCCCUGGAGUCAUUUGCCUGAGUCAGGACACGCCAUACAGUGGAAGGAGAGACUGAUCACCUCUCAGUGACCAGAGAGUCACUCAGGACAGGAUUUAUUCCCUUGGGAUCGGGUGGCUUGUCAAUUCUAGUGUGCAUGUGUGAGUGACUGGAGUGAACGAGAGCCCGUGCUCCACCAUCCUUGGACUAAUGUAUGGUUAGGAAUUCUAAGAAAGGAUUUUCUGAAGAUUAUGGUGUUAAACUUAGUUCUGGAAAACUGCGCACUCUCUGUACCCUAGAGUGGCCCUCCUCCAGGGUCAGAUGGCCCUCACAAGGGACCUUAGAUGUGCCCAAGGUUCCAGGGGUUAUAACAGGAGAAGACCCUGGACACCCAGAUCAAUUUCCAUUCAUCCAUCAAUGGUUAGAAGUUGCCUGGUUGAGGCCUCCUUCUGUAUCACAGGCCUGGGACAGUGUAAGGGCCUAGUAGCUCAGUCCAAGAAGAAAACUUUUCCAUGACAAAAAGAGCCACCUUCAAGGAGAGGCCAAAGACUCACCCCUUGUGCUGCCUCCCUAUGAGCUACCAGCCACAGCCCCUCCUUUGGGGUCCCAAAGCCCCCAAUUGCCAGACAGCCCACUGCCUUCUGUUUCUCCCUCUCCCCCUCCUGAAGUCCCCAAGGCAGUGCUGCCCCAACAUCGGAACUGGUGAGCUGGUGUCUCUAGUUGAACUAGGGAGCAGCUGCCCAGCAUUACAAAUGCCUUUGCGGGAGACACAGGGACCACAGCGUAUUGCCCCUUAUGGGACCAUACAAGAGAGGGGACCAGUUUUUAAUUACCAGCCCUUUUCCACAACAGACCUUCUCAACUGGAAGCAUUACAGUCCCUCUUACUCUGAAAAGCCUCAGGCACUGAUCGACCUCUUAGAAUCCAUUUUUCAGACACAACGCCCUACGUGGGUGGACUGUCAGCAGCUCCUGAAGAGCACCGAUGAAUCAUUAUGGAAGCCAGGAAUGGCUCCAAACCAAUGCCCCAGGGGAUCAAUUAGACAUGGAAAACUGGGCAAGGGAUGCUUUCCCAGAGGAAGAGCCCCAUUGGGACCACAACACCGAAGGGGAAAGAAAUAAUUUAGGGAGGUACAGACAGGCCCUCCUAUAGGGGGUAAAGAUGGGGGCUAAAAAGCCUACUAACAUGGCCAAGACCACUGAGGUACUACAAAAGUCAGAUGAAAGCCUGGCCAACUUCUAUGAGAAGCUAUGUUAGGCUUUUUGAGUUUGAUCCCAAGACCCCCAAGGCCCCCAAGUACCAAUGGAUGAUAAACACUGCCUUUGUGGGACAGGCCCAAUCUGAUAUCUGUAAAAAGUUACAGAAAUUAGGAUUUGCAGGAAAAAAUGCCACAAAGUUACUAGAGAUAGCCAACAAGGUUUUUGUUAACUGUGACCAGGUGGCCUGCUGUGGCAUGGAAAAGAGUAGGAAACAAAAAGCUGUGCUUCUGGCGGCAGCCCUAUCAAAAAUGGUACCCCCAGCAGGACCACCCGUAAGCCAUGGGGCCCAAGGCCAGGAUAAAGGGGCCCCUUUGGACACAAUCAAUAUGCCUACUGCAAAGAGAAGGGACACUGGAAAAAUGAAUGCCCCGACUGUCCUGAGAGAAAGACCAAGGCAGCAGCCCCACUUAGCCAGUACCAACCCAAGACACCCAGCAUGAGUCUGAUCGGCUUAGCUGAAGCAGAGUCCAACUAGUGGAGAGUGGGCUUUCUCCAACUGGGCCCCUGAGACACCAUGGUCAGAAUUCAAGUAGGGGGCUGACCCAUAGACUUUGUGGAAGAUAUAGGUGCUGAACAUUUGGUGGUCACACAACCCAUGCCCCCCCCCCUCCCCGGGGAAAGAAUCUGCCAUCAUCAGGGCCUCAGACAACCAAACCCGCAGGCCCUUCUGUGGUCCCCGACAGUGCCAGUUAGGAGGCCAUGAGGUAAUACAUGAAUUUCUUUACCUGCCUGACUGCCCAGUCCCCUUGAUGGGAAGAGACCUGCUGGCCAAGAUGGGGGCUCAAGUCUCCUUCUCCACUGAUGGAUCAGCUCAACUCAAAUUAGCAGAACUGCCCUUUUCUUUAAUGAUGGCUCUCACUAUAAGGAGGGAAGAAGAAUGGCGCCUGUGCUCUUCCUCUCCACAAGAGAGGAUGGUUCCGCUGGAACUAGAGACUGAGUACCCAUUGGUUUGGGCUGAGGGAAACCCUCUGGGACUAGCAAGAUGCCAUGCUCCUAUCUUGAUUGAUCUGAAACCUGGAGCUCAACCAGUAAAGCUGCAGCAGUACUUGAUUCCCAGAGAAGCUUGACCAGGAAUCCAGGCACAUCUGGAUAGGCUACUUCAGCACAGGCUUUUAACAAAGUGCCAGUCACCCUGGAACACCCUCUUAUUGCUUGUAAAGAAAUUGGGAACACAAGACCACCACCUGGUUCAGGACCUGAGGGCCAUAAAUGAAGCAACAAUCACAUUAUACCCGUCUUUACUUAACCUGUACACCUUGCUGGGGUUAAUCCCUUCCACUACCAAGGAGUUCACUUGCCUGAACUCAAAAGAUGCCUUCUUCUGCCUCUAAGUGGCAUCUGCAAGUCAGCCCUUGUUGCCUACAAGAAUUCAAAACCUCUCCCACUCUUUUCAGCAGUGCCCUGGCUACUGAUGUGGCUGAAUUCCCUGGACAAAAACUAGACUGUGUCUUGCUGGAGUAUGUUGAUGACCUCUUGGUGGCCAGCACCAUGCAGGCUCAAUGCCUAGAGGGAACAAAAGCUCUCCUCUCCCUACUAAUGGAAGUAGGGUAUCAGGUAUCAAAGAAAAAGGCACAAAUCUUAAUAAACAAGUCAAAUAUCUGGGCUUUAACAUCAUGCAGGGCCGAAGAAUAUUGGGGACUGAGAGAAAACACACAAUUUGUGCCAUUCUGGCCCCUAUCACCCGCCAGAAAGUUCAUGAGUUCCUAGAGGCAGUGAGAUUCUGCAGGACAUGGAUCCCCAGAUUUUCAGAUGUGGCCAGACCUCUGUAUGAAGCCACAAAAGGGGAAGAAAAGGCUCCCCUUGAAUGGGGACCAAGCCAGAAGGCAGCCUUUCAGCCAAUCAAAACCAAACUCACUGAGGAUCUGGCCUUAGGACUUCCCGAUGUAACCAGAGAAUUUAACCUCUUUGUUCAUGAGAAAAAUGGGAUGGCUUUGGGAGUCCUAACCCAAGAGUUCAGGCCUUGGCAGAAGCCGGUGGCAUAUCUGUCUAAGCAAAUUGACUCAGUUGCAGCUGGAUGGCCUCCCUGCCUCUGAGCUCUGGCAGCUACCACCUUGUUAGUAAGAGAGGCUGACAAGUUGACACUAGGACAGAACCUCAACAUUAAAGUCCUGCAUUCAGUUGUAAUCCUGAUGGACAAUAGGGGCCACCAUUGGCCAAUGCAUGCAUGAAUGACUCAGUAUCAAGGGUUACUAUUUGAGAAUCUGCAGGUAAGGUUGGAAGCUGUACGAACUCUUGAACCCAGCCACCUUUCUACCAGAUGAAGUGGGGCCCCCAGACCAUAACUGCUUAGAAGUACUAGAUGUUUUCCAGCAGGCCUGACUUAACUGACAGACCACUCCAAAAUCCAAACCUGGUUCUAUGUACUGAUGGCAGUAGCUUCAUGGAAUAGGGUAAAGAAUGGCAGGAUAUGCUGUGGUGUCUGACUCAGAAGUGAUGGAAGCAGAAGUGCUUCCUCAAGGUUGGUCAGUGCAGAGAGCAGAAUUAUGGGCAUUAAUCAGAGUGCUGGAGCUCAGCUGAGAUGAGUGAGUUAAUAUCUAUACUGACUCAUGGUAUGCCUUUGCAACUUUACAUAUCCAUGAAGCCUUAUAUAAGGAGAGGAAACUGCUGAAGGAAAAGGGAUCAAAAACCAAGCUAAAAUCCUAAAGUUCCUGGAGGUAGUAUGGGAAUCUAAAGAUGUGGCAGUUAUACACUGCAAAGGCCACCAAAAGGGAGGUGACCCAGUGGCAAAAGGAAACCACAACACUGGUGCAGCUGCCAGACAAGCAGCCAAAGGGCAAUCACCGGACAAAAACCCAAAGUCCUGUUGGCCCCAGAAAUACCGACUAUCCCCAAGUACUCUCUAGAAGAGGAAAAGUGGAUAGAAGAGGAAAGGGGAACCAAAACAAAGAUGGGAUGGUGGGUCACACAAGACCACCAGGAUUAUCUUCUGGAACAGCUGGCCUAGAAACUAGUCCCCCGGCAACACAAACUGACCCACAUGGGCAAAACUGCCUUAGAGAUCUUACUAGGUAGGUACUAUCUUAUUGCACGUCUUCCCGCACUCUGCUCCUCCAUCUCCCAAUGGUGCAUAACUUAUUUACACAAUAACUCUUUCCAAGGGCCUAGCAGACCAGCUGGGACACAAAACUGUGGACUGUCCCCAUUUGAGGAUAUGGAAGUAGACUUCACUGAAGUCACUCCGAGCAGGGUAUACAAAUACCUGCUAGUUUUUGUCUGCACCUUUUUGGGUGGGUAGAAGCCUUUCCAAACCUGAAUUGAAAAGGUAAGAGAAGUAACCAAGGCACUCUUGAGAGACAUCAUUCUCAGAUAUGGAAUGCCUGGGACCAUCGGGUCAGACAAUGGACUGGCAUUUGUGGCCAAAAAAGUGCAACAGGUGACAAGAGCCUUACAGAUCUGGUGGAAGCUACAUUCUGCCUGUCACCCUCAAAGCUCAGGGAAAGUAGAAUACAUGAAAUGAACCCUUAAGCAGACUCUAGCAAAAUUAUUGCAGGAGAUCAGCUUGCCCUGGGUUAAUAUGCUGCUGGUGGCCCUCCUAAAAGUGAUAUGCUACCCUGAGUGAGGAUAGGAUUCUUGCCAUUUCAAAUCUUAUAUGGAAGGCCACCUCCAGUGAUCAGUUUGAGAGGAAACACCAGAGAACUGGGGAGGCUUAUAUUUACAUAG
Molecule: long non-coding RNA, 5551 nt
Filed under: Sus scrofa (pig)
Lineage: Eukaryota; Metazoa; Chordata; Mammalia; Artiodactyla; Suidae
Description: lncRNA (ENSSSCG00015062242.1)
Source: RNAcentral